AAUCAACGCUGGCGGCGUGCUUAACACAUGCAAGUCGAGCGGUAAGGCCCUUUCGGGGUACGACGAGCGGCGAACGGGUGAGUAACACGUGGGUGACCUGCCCUCAGCUCUGGGAUAAGCCUGGGAAACCGGGUCUAAUACCGGAUAUGACUCCAUGACGCAUGUUGUGGGGUGGAAAGCCUUGUGCGGCUGAGGAUGGGCCCGCGGCCUAUCAGCUUGUUGGGGGGUGAUGGCCUACCAAGGCGACGACGGGUAGCCGGCCUGAGAGGGCGGACCGGCCACACUGGGACGUGAGACACGGCCCACGACUCCUACGGGAGGCAGCAGUGGGGAAGUCUUGCGCAAUGGGCGAAAGCCUGACGCAGCGACG
This 370-nucleotide ribosomal RNA is filed under the name uncultured bacterium. RNAcentral describes it as "bacterial SSU rRNA". It matches the Rfam family "Bacterial small subunit ribosomal RNA", at positions 28 to 396 of the family's 1533-position model. The record is from RNAcentral.